UGGGGAAUAUUGCACAAUGGGCGCAAGCCUGAUGCAGCCAUGCCGCGUGUAUGAAGAAGGCCUUCGGGUUGUAAAGUACUUUCAGCGGGGAGGAAGGGAGUAAAGUUAAUACCUUUGCUCAUUGACGUUACCCGCAGAAGAAGCACCGGCUAACUCCGUGCCAGCAGCCGCGGUAAUACGGAGGGUGCAAGCGUUAAUCGGAAUUACUGGGCGUAAAGCGCACGCAGGCGGUUUGUUAAGUCAGAUGUGAAAUCCCCGGGCUCAACCUGGGAACUGCAACGGAUACUGGCAAGCUUGAGUCUCGUAGAGGGGGGUAGAAUUCCAGGUGUAGCGGUGAAAUGCGUAGAGAUCUGGAGGAAUACCGGUGGCGAAGGCGGCCCCCUGGACGAAGACUGACGCUCAGGUGCGAAAGCGUGGGGAGCAAACAGG
Molecule: ribosomal RNA, 429 nt
Filed under: Chloroflexota bacterium
Lineage: Bacteria; Bacillati; Chloroflexota
Description: Chloroflexi bacterium partial 16S ribosomal RNA
Rfam family: Bacterial small subunit ribosomal RNA
Source: RNAcentral